This 260-nucleotide ribosomal RNA is filed under the name uncultured prokaryote. RNAcentral's name for it is "partial 16S ribosomal RNA". It matches the Rfam family "Bacterial small subunit ribosomal RNA", at positions 524 to 782 of the family's 1533-position model. The record is from RNAcentral.
UACGGAGGAUGCGAGCGUUAUCCGGAUUUAUUGGGUUUAAAGGGUGCGUAGGCGGCUUUUUAAGUCAGCGGUGAAAUUUUGCAGCUUAACUGUAAAAGCGCCGUUGAUACUGUGAGGCUAGGAUUUGGUUGCUGUGGGUGGAAUGUGUGGUGUAGCGGUGAAAUGCUUAGAGAUCACACAGAAUAUCGAUUGCGAAGGCAGCUCACAAAGCCAAGAUUGACGCUGAGGCACGAAAGUGUGGGGAGUCAAACAGGAUUAGA